Gallus gallus (chicken) is the source of this 378-nucleotide long non-coding RNA. The record is from Ensembl. NCBI's taxonomy places the organism in Eukaryota, Metazoa, Chordata, Aves, Galliformes, Phasianidae.
UCUGGAAACAAAGUUACUGCCUUCAACAAACGUGGGAGUUUUAACUUCAUUUCCUACAUAAUACCUGUUCAAGGAGUUCUUUAAGAAACACCUACAAUACAGAAGUGUUGAGGGGAGAAGAAACCUCUGCUGAAAUCCUGGCAUACAGGAAAGUGAACAAAAGGCAAGGUGAGCAUGAUCAGCUAUCUCAUAUACUCAAGGAGCCCUCUCCACAGAGAAGAAGGCAAUUGAAAAUGGGAUGCCAUGAGAUAUCUUAACAGCAUCAGGCCUUGAGGAUAGAGAAUUGCUCAGCUGUGGACUUAAUGUUAGACAAACAAAAGAAGAGGAGGAGGAAUUCCAAAAAGCAUGAAUCACAGCAGGGCUGAGGCCACACUGGGG